CCUCUGCAAAUUUGUGUACACAGAGUCAGUCCCUUACCUCUCUCUAAAAGUGCACAGUUUCAAAAAGUUCAAUGAAGAGAAGAUUGUUGGGGGCGGAAUAGAUCUGGACAAGGAGAAGCAGUCUGGUGAUAAAUGUGAUAAGAGAGGGACAGGCAGUAGAAACAAAAGUGAAACCGUUUGAACAGCAUAUUCCAGAAGUCUUGAGGUCUUUCUGAGUGUAGCCUUCAUUGAUUUGAGAUCUACCAUACCAUUCUCUCACUAGAAGGGAAAAUCUAUAAUGGCAGCAGCAAUAAGAGAGACCCAGUUUGGAAAUAUUUUAAUGAAGUUCCUCUACCUGGGGUAAGACAGGAAUGAAAUGAAAACAGUGCAACAAAGAAAUGCAAAGCCUGGUUGCUCAAAUGAAACAACAUCACGAGAAGUGUUCCUUCUCAGGAGGAAGCUGCGUUGAAAAUGAGGAAAGGAACAUGUCUGAACGUGCAGGAUCUUCAGGAGAAUCCAUCCUCAACAUACAGGAUUCUGAACACUAUCCAUCUUCAAGAUCACCAUCAUUUUCUAUAAUUUCAGAGUUAUCUGUCAAUUAGAGUGUUUCAGUUACAUCAUGUAUGUCACAUAGCCAAAGCAUAUCACCUGUAGC
Long non-coding RNA from Dermochelys coriacea (leatherback sea turtle), 634 nucleotides. RefSeq lists it as uncharacterized. The transcript has 2 exons. Lineage: Eukaryota; Metazoa; Chordata; Testudines; Dermochelyidae. The record is from RefSeq and is a predicted model, not a curated record.